This is an RNA transcript of Quercus robur (English oak), 5595 nucleotides long. It is a transcript of the gene named histone-lysine N-methyltransferase, H3 lysine-9 specific SUVH6-like, with no coding region annotated. The transcript is spliced from 2 exons. Lineage: Eukaryota; Viridiplantae; Streptophyta; Magnoliopsida; Fagales; Fagaceae. The record is from RefSeq and is a predicted model, not a curated record.
AGACAUUUGUAAUUAAAAAAUAUUUAUGAAUAAAUGAAACACAAUCUAUAAUAAAAAAAAAAAACAAUUUAACUAGAAUAAUAUAAAUUUAAUGUAUAAAACAAUAGAACCUGGUUUAUCAAAAGCACAAUUGCAGCUCUACUUAAUAUAAUCACUUUACAAUUUAAACCUGCACAAAAAAAAAAAAAAAAAAUAUUAAUACAAAGUAAAUUAUUCUUAAUUUAUAAUUUUGUUAUCACUUAUCAAUACUCUUUUUUUUUUUUGUGUAACAUUAAACCUUUUUUUUAGCAAAAGAUUGAAUCUACUAAGACCAACCCACUAACAAAAUGUGUAAGACCCAACUUUAUCCACACUAAAACUAAGACAAGCCUAGGGCCCACUAUCCCUCAUGGUUCCAUCCCACUAAAUCUGAUUUCUUAAAAAAAAAAAAAAAAACGUGUAAAACCAAAAAUAAGAAUAGAACAAAACGUGUAAAACCAAAAGCAAAAGCAAAACAAUACCUGAUUUCUUUAAAAAAAAAAAAUGUGUAAAGCCAAAAAGAAGAAUAAAACAAAACGUGUAAAGCCAAAAGCUAAAGCAAAACAAUACUUUACAUCUUUAAGGGGUCAUCUGGACCAUUCCAUAGACAGCUAGGCUUCUAGAGAAAUCUGUAGCAAAAAAGAAAGAGCAAAAACCCAGCAGCUCCUCUUCCCAAAAAAAAAAAACUCAGACACCCAUCAGCUGAAGAAGAUCUAAAGCCAAAAAGAAAGAGCAAAAACCCAGCCGCUCCUCUUCAAAAAAAAAAAAAAAAAAAACUCAGACACCCAUCAGCUGAAGAAGAUCUAAAGCCAAAAAGAAAGAGUAAAACCCAGCAGCUCCUCUUCAAAAAAAAAAAAAAAAAAAAACUUAGACACCCAGCAGCUGAAGUAGACGAAAGAGGCAAAGAGGCAAAGGAAGAGAAAGCAGAAAAGAACCUGAAAUGAAGCUCUGUGAACACACCAAGUCUAUUGCUAACACCGAUUGAUGAGUUGUGUGUCACUUACUCACUUGGGGUUCCAGAUUUGUUGUUUAUUAAUACCCUUUGCACAUAGCUGCAUCUUAUGGUAACAUCCAAUUUGCCCUAGAGCUAAUGAAUUUAAAGCCUUCAUUUGCUCGGAAACUAAAUCCAAACGGUUUUAGUCCCAUUCACCUUGCUCUACAAAAUGGGCAUAUUGAGUUGGUGCGUCGGCUUCUACAACUUGAUGGGGACCUUGUUUGUGUCAAAAGAAGGGAGCGGCUAACUCCUUUGCAUUAAGUAGUAGAAAGUGGUAAGCACCUUGAUCUGUUGGAAGAAUUUUUAAUGGUGUAUCCUGAUUCUAUUACAGAUGUGAUGGUGCGAAAUGAGACAGCGUUGCAUAUUGCCCUGAAAAAUGACAAGCUCGAGCCAUGUCACUAAGAAUUCAAAUGCCGUGAGCUUGUCAUUUUUGAGGGCAAUGUGCAACGCUGUCUCGUUUCGCACUGUCACAUCUAUAAUAGAAUCAGGACACACCAUUAAAAAUUCUUCCAACAUGUCAAGGUGCUCACCACUUUCUACUACUUAAUGCAAAGGAGUUAGCCGCUCCCUUCUUUUGACACAAACAAGGUCCCCAUCAAGUUGUAGAAGCCGACGCACCAACUCAAUAUGCCCAUUUUGUAGAGCAAGGUGAAUGGGACUAAAACCGUUUGGAUUUAGUUUCCGAGCAAAUGAAGGCUUUAUAUUCAUUAGCUCUAGGGCAAAUUGGAUGUUCCCAUAAGAUGCAGCUAUGUGCAAAGGGGUAUUAAUAAAUGGUAGCUCGUCGAUGUUCCCAUAAGAGUUAGGCUAAGUGGUUUGCAAAUUCAAUUAUGGGAGAAGAAAUGACAGAAUAAAAAAAAAAUUCGACCUUGAAGCUGUACGCAUCUGUAAUGUGUCAAUUUUUAUUUUCUGUUUCUUUGAUAAUAAAAUUUAGUCUAUGUUUCUUUGUACAUCGUUGUAGUACUUAAUGUAUAUUGCAAUAAAGUAGUGUGAUUGGCUAGCAUUAAUUUUUGAAUUUAUAUUCAAAUUUCUAAUAGUGUUUGGUUCUAAAAGCUCAGGAUAUUAUUGGGUGCUUUAAAUUUCAAUAAUAUCAUGUUUUGGAAGCAUACUAUCAUGACCAUGAAACAGUGGUCAUACUUAUAUUAUUUGCAAUAAUAGAGUGAAGCUUUUAGAAAAGAAUAAACUCUACUUUGAAUCAGAAUAAGGUGAAGCACCGUUGGCCUGGUCAUAAUACACAGAAUUAUGAUUGAUUUCAACCUCUAAUGAGAAUCCAUAAACGUCUAUUCUUCAAAACAAGUGACAAACAGAACAAAUAGUAAUUGUCACUUGUUUGUAGGGUGAUCAUUAGAUGGAACAGAGUAGGAUGACUGAAAAUCCCACCUAGUGAUAAUUCAAUGAUCAUUGGUGAGAGCUCAAGACACGGUGAUGAUCAGUUGUACUCCCAGAAAAGGCUUAUUAAGGUUUCACUGAAGGCACUUGGGUCUGCCGCCUAUGCCCCUGGCAACUCUACUAGAUCCCAACAUUCCCAUGAAAGUUCUUUACCUGCUACACUGUCACUGAUAUUUGGCAAUGUAGAUAAAUUGGGAGGUGACAUUUAUCAUUCAGCUGUGACUGUUAUGAGUGAGAUAAUCCACAAAGACCCAACAUGUUUUCCUGCUCUGGAUGAUUUGGGUCUUUCAGCUGCCUUUUUAUCAUCGGAGGUAGCUGGUAUACUGCCUUAGUCAAAGGCUCUAACAUGUGUUCCUAAUGGUCUUGGGGCCAUUUGCCUUAAUGCCAAAGGCUUAGAGGCAGUGAAGGAAGCCUCAGCAUUACGGUUUCUUGUUGACAUUUUCACCAGUAAGAAAUAUGUUACGGCAAUGAAUGAUGCUAUUGUUCCUUUGGCAAAUGCUGUGGAAGAGCUUUUACGCCACGUAUCUUCUCUGAGAAGCACUGGUGUUGAUAUUAUCAUAGAAAUUGUUAAUAAGAUUGAUUCUUUUGGGGACAGUAAUUAGGUAGGGGUACUGACUUUAAUUAGUCCGUAUUUUUUUUCUUUAAGAAAUAUUUUACGGCAAUGAAUGAUGCCUUUGUUCCUUUGGCAAACUAACUUAUUGGGAGUUCUAGCUUUGUAUUUUUUUUCUUGUGCUUCUUUUGUAUGGUUUAAUUAGUCCGUUAACAUUGAUGCUGGAAGGCUGCAUCUAUCUAUUCACAAUAAGAUAGAUGUGUAGUUCAGAUUGUUUACCACUCAUCAAACAAAUUUAAAAGGCCUUUAAGAGAUACCAAAUAUAUAUUUUUGUAUUAUGCCAUUUGGCUAUUCACCAUAAAACAUGUGUAGUUUAGAUUGUGUAACAACUUAACUAAUAAACAAUGAAAAAGCUUUAUUUCUCUACUUAUGAAACUCCAGCAUACUAACCACUUAUAAUCUGAUCCAAAUGUAGUAUAGUAGACUAGUAGUACUUUUUUUUUUUUUUUUUGGGUUUGAUAACAAGUAGACUAAUAGUACUAACUAGUAAUUAGUUGACUUGUGUAUCUAUCUAUCUGCCUAUUUCCUUGGAAAAUAACAGUAUUGAUAUAUGGGUGGUUCGUAGCUGAACCACACUCUUUUCCCAGAAACAGAAACAGAGAAAUAGCAACAAGCUAGAGUGAAAAACGCACAACAUUCUUCUUCACAGACCCGCAACAUUCUCCUUCACUCUAUAACACGCAAACAAAUACAAUGCUCUCUGCUCUUAGUCUUUUCACUUUCAGUGACCAUCUUUGCAUUGCAUGACUCAAAUUUUCACCAAAACAAUGUGUUUUUUCUGAGAUUCAUAGCAUUUCAAGUCUUUGCUUCUUGUUUCUUCACUACCCUCUACCUAUUCAACUCAUUUUAGGUUUCUGAAGUAGCAAGUAAAGAAAGCGUACCCAUUUGAUUAUUGAGCAACUUUCUUGCAACUUGCAAGUGCUUUUUAUCCUAUUACAAGUGAUUUCUUUCUGUGUUUCUAUGUUAUUUGUUUGAGUUGUUUCUUAUCAUCAUCUGGGCUAUAUAGAGAUUUUGCUUUUGUGAUUAUACUAUGUUUGAUGUCUUUUGCUUUUAAAAUAUUAUAUUUUCUUUUUUUUGAAGGAAAAAAUACUUUGUGAGAACUUUUUGGGUGUGCAAACACUUUGUGAAUUCAUGCCUUGCUACCAACAAAUGUAGUCUAUUGCUGAACCAUGUCAAUUCAUAGUGUUCUAUCUUCUGUGUAGUUGUGUUUAUUUUUAAAUUCUUCUAUCUUAUUAUUAUUAUUUGAGAUCUUUCUAUAGCCAUAAUAUUUUUCACAAUCAAUCAAAUUGCUAUCAUAGCUUUUGCAUUUACAACAUGUUUGUGCUUCUCUUUAAAUUAUUAUUAUUAUUAUAUGGAUAUGGAUGUUGUAAUCUUUGUCUGAUAUAUGGUUCUGCUUCUAUAUAUGUGUUCCUAUAAAUCCUUUGAAAAAUCAAAUUAUAACGCAUGAUGGGUCUGUUUAAUCCCCCUAUGCUUACAAAAUAACGAGGUUUUGGAUCUUCCUCCAACUCUAGUAGAGUUUGUGGUGCGUUUGUGCGUCAGAGUGUUCCAAGUGCAGCUAAAGAUAGUAAUGCCACUGUAAUGCGUGAUAAAAGUGCUUCGAAAUUCAAUAAGCCUAAUUUAUGCACAAAGUGCCAAGCUUUGGUCGAUCAAUUUCUGCUUCUUCUAAUGUCAGUGUUUUAGGUAAGAAGAGGAAGCCCAUGGAAGAAUGCAAGCGAUUGGUUUCAGAUGAGAAAUGUGAUGGAACUUCCAAAAGAACUAGCAUGAGCUAUACGUACAAACAAAAUGAGGAUGUUGUGAAUCAAAAGCGUAGAGUUCGGUCCAAGUAUUUCGAACCUAUUGAUAGUCCUUGAAAGAAAGUACAGGCGGCUUUGAAUCUAUUUAGAAAAGUUGUUGAGCAAGCGCAUGAGAGAAAUGAACGCAGAGUCUGACUUCAAAAGUGGGGCAACCAGGGCUGCUUAUAUUGAAGUGGCAAAGGAUCUUCACUGGGAACGAAAAUGGGUUAACGUAGACAAACGGAUAGGACCUGUUACUGAACUGAAUGUUAUUGGUCUUCAUCGUCAAUUUCAGAAUGGUAUUGAUUACAUGAUGAAGGGUAAACAAAAAUUGGCCACAAGUAUUGUUGCUUCCAGUCGUUAUGCCAAUUACAUGGGAUCACCUGAGGUAUUUGUUUAUAUAGGUCAAGGUGGGAAUCCAAGGGCUGGAAAAAGUGAACCAAAAGAUCAGAAGCUUGAGCGUGGAAACCUUGCUUUGAAGAAUAGUACGGAAGCCGGAACUCAUGUAAGGUUAAUUCGAGGCAUUGAAGGUUCUGAGGCUUCGAAAAACAGGAUAUACGUCUAUGAUGGCUUGUAUGUUGUGGAUAAAUUUACACAAGAAAGAGGAGAAUUUGGCAAGCUUGUAUUCAAGUUUGAGUUGAUAAGGAUUCCGGGGCAACCAAAGCUUGCUACAUAGGACAUGAAUGUGGAAAUGUUUUCUAGUUUUGCAAUGCUAAGUAGAAGUUUUGUGUUUUGUGUUUUGUUUUGCUUUCAAAUCAGUAAGGAUUUCUGUGUUUUGUAAACUUAUAAUUGAAGUUCAAAUCUUGUUUUACUUU